UACGGAGGAUCCAAGCGUUGUCCGGAUUUAUUGGGUUUAAAGGGUGCGUAGGCGGAUUUCUAAGUCAGAGGUGAAAGUUUGCAGCUUAACUGUAAAAUUGCCUUUGAAACUGGUAGUCUUGAGUACAGUUGAGGUGGGCGGAAUGUGUCAUGUAGCGGUGAAAUGCUUAGAUAUGAUACAGAACACCGAUUGCGAAGGCAGCUCACUAAACUGUAACUGACGCUGAGGCACGAAAGCGUGGGGAGCGAACAGGAUUAGAUACCCUAGUAGU
RNAcentral lists this ribosomal RNA (271 nucleotides) under uncultured bacterium. RNAcentral's name for it is "partial 16S ribosomal RNA". It matches the Rfam family "Bacterial small subunit ribosomal RNA", at positions 524 to 794 of the family's 1533-position model. The record is from RNAcentral.